This 1398-nucleotide ribosomal RNA is filed under the name uncultured bacterium. Its description in RNAcentral is "bacterial SSU rRNA". It matches the Rfam family "Bacterial small subunit ribosomal RNA". The record is from RNAcentral.
AGAGUUUGAUCCUGGCUCAGGAUGAACGCUAGCUACAGGCUUAACACAUGCAAGUCGAGGGGCAGCAUGGUCUUAGCUUGCUAAGGCCGAUGGCGACCGGCGCACGGGUGAGUAACACGUAUCCAACCUGCCGUCUACUCUUGGACAGCCUUCUGAAAGGAAGAUUAAUACAAGAUGGCAUCAUGAGUCCACAUGUUCACAUGAUUAAAGGUAUUCCGGUAGACGAUGGGGAUGCGUUCCAUUAGAUAGUAGGCGGGGUAACGGCCCACCUAGUCUUCGAUGGAUAGGGGUUCUGAGAGGAAGGUCCCCCACAUUGGAACUGAGACACGGUCCAAACUCCUACGGGAGGCAGCAGUGAGGAAUAUUGGUCAAUGGGCGAGAGCCUGAACCAGCCAAGUAGCGUGAAGGAUGACUGCCCUAUGGGUUGUAAACUUCUUUUAUAAAGGAAUAAAGUCGGGUAUGCAUACCCGUUUGCAUGUACUUUAUGAAUAAGGAUCGGCUAACUCCGUGCCAGCAGCCGCGGUAAUACGGAGGAUCCGAGCGUUAUCCGGAUUUAUUGGGUUUAAAGGGAGCGUAGAUGGAUGUUUAAGUCAGUUGUGAAAGUUUGCGGCUCAACCGUAAAAUUGCAGUUGAUACUGGAUAUCUUGAGUGCAGUUGAGGCAGGCGGAAUUCGUGGUGUAGCGGUGAAAUGCUUAGAUAUCACGAAGAACUCCGAUUGCGAAGGCAGCCUGCUAAGCUGCAACUGACAUUGAGGCUCGAAAGUGUGGGUAUCAAACAGGAUUAGAUACCCUGGUAGUCCACACGGUAAACGAUGAAUACUCGCUGUUUGCGAUAUACGGCAAGCGGCCAAGCGAAAGCGUUAAGUAUUCCACCUGGGGAGUACGCCGGCAACGGUGAAACUCAAAGGAAUUGACGGGGGCCCGCACAAGCGGAGGAACAUGUGGUUUAAUUCGAUGAUACGCGAGGAACCUUACCCGGGCUUAAAUUGCAGAUGAAUUACGGUGAAAGCCGUAAGCCGCAAGGCAUCUGUGAAGGUGCUGCAUGGUUGUCGUCAGCUCGUGCCGUGAGGUGUCGGCUUAAGUGCCAUAACGAGCGCAACCCUUGUUGUCAGUUACUAACAGGUUCCGCUGAGGACUCUGACAAGACUGCCAUCGUAAGAUGUGAGGAAGGUGGGGAUGACGUCAAAUCAGCACGGCCCUUACGUCCGGGGCUACACACGUGUUACAAUGGGGGGUACAGAGGGCCGCUACCACGCGAGUGGAUGCCAAUCCCAAAAACCUCUCUCAGUUCGGACUGGAGUCUGCAACCCGACUCCACGAAGCUGGAUUCGCUAGUAAUCGCGCAUCAGCCACGGCGCGGUGAAUACGUUCCCGGGCCUUGCACACACCGCCCGUCAAG